Long non-coding RNA from Terrapene triunguis (Three-toed box turtle), 335 nucleotides. RefSeq lists it as uncharacterized. Lineage: Eukaryota; Metazoa; Chordata; Testudines; Emydidae. The record is from RefSeq and is a predicted model, not a curated record. The transcript is spliced from 3 exons.
AUGUGUCCAGAUCUGGUACUGUGGGGCGUGACUACUUUUCUUUGACUGUCACGGCAUUGCUGUAUGGAUGUUGACAUAUGGGAGCGAAGGCCUGUGUAGAAAGGAAAAGAAGAUCUUGAGAGUGGGAGUGGCCAUCAAAGGGGGAUCUGAGUCCAGAACUGAAGGAAUGGGCUGUGGCAAGUGCGCCCUGUUUGGUUUACAUGGUUCCUGGUAAUGGUGGUGCCAGUGGGAGCAGAGGAGCUGCUUGCAUCCAUGAGGUAAGUGUUAAGUUUGAGCUUUUAGUGCACUACUGUUGAUGGGAGUGUGGUCUUUGCUGGGUUAGGUGAGGUGGGCUU